Lacerta agilis (Sand lizard) is the source of this 1080-nucleotide long non-coding RNA. RefSeq lists it as uncharacterized. NCBI's taxonomy places the organism in Eukaryota, Metazoa, Chordata, Lepidosauria, Squamata, Lacertidae. The transcript is spliced from 3 exons. The record is from RefSeq and is a predicted model, not a curated record.
AUACAGUUAUUGAAGCACAUUUGUGUGCAUGAAAGGGUUAACCUGACCCCUGAGUUCAAUUUACCAGAAUGGGUGUGGCUUAGCAGUACUAAGCAGCCUCUGCUCCCCACCUUCUCAGUCUUUUUCUCUUUAUGCUUCCUGAAACAAGCAAGAAGCCAUGCGGUCACGGCUUCCUAGACGAUAACUGAAUCUCCUCCAAAAGGAAGAUUUUACAGCCUGCAUCUUUGCUAAUGCAAAUAUUCCAUGGUCCUUUUGUAAGUAAGCCAAGUCCAUUUCUUUUAAAGUCACUUGGAACCUUUUUCAUCUUCAUUUUAAUGGAUGGAGAUUUAUUUGCUGUAACUUCUGAAAACUCUGCCUAUGCUACUGGACUGAAGGGAAAAAAGACUUGACAUUUACCAUUAUUAAUAAGUUGGGCAGAGACAUCGACUCAGCCUCUGAAGCUGCAGGAGGAAAAGAGCAAGAAGUUCACUGGUCUCUCUGCAGUCCUCCUGAAGGAGAAAGGAGUUGAACCCUGACUUCUGGGACUGAAUGCCCCAAGAGAAAUGUCAAGUUGAAGACCUUUCACUGUUGCAGACUCCUAACAGUGCCUUCUAUUGUGUGACGCUACAAAGGUGCCUGAGACCCACACUGAUACUUACACAAAAGAGAAUGAAUGUUUGGUUCAUCCUUGAAGUUUAGGGCUCUGCCAGCAACGAGAAAGGUAAUGGCUCUGUCAUGUUGUACACAGAACUGACAUCAUGAACACUGCAGAGGAAUCUUCUUGAACGGUGAACCUCACGUGCUUGCGGAAACACAGCUACCUUACAUUUUAUUUAAGUUGUAUAUAUCUAGAACAUUUCUGUGCAAUGUUUGCCCAGUUAAGAACAUGGCUCAUCAUUUUGAAACAGGUCCAGACGUUCCCCCGCCCUCCUAAUGGGAAGCCAUGGGACUGACUGCAGAUGUUCACAAAUGCAGAGAUUGUGACUGAUGGGGGAUUUGGCAUGGAAAUCUCACAAUGUGGCCUCCACUCAACUGCUGCUGACCUCCUCCUAUACCUUUCAAGAGUUUCGUUGCAAGGCGAAGAAAGGGAUGGUGGGCAGC